RNAcentral lists this non-coding RNA (24 nucleotides) under Arabidopsis thaliana (thale cress). Lineage: Eukaryota; Viridiplantae; Streptophyta; Magnoliopsida; Brassicales; Brassicaceae. The record is from RNAcentral.
AGCAGCAGGUGGCACCUAGCAAGG